Long non-coding RNA from Vicia villosa (hairy vetch), 2161 nucleotides. RefSeq lists it as uncharacterized. Lineage: Eukaryota; Viridiplantae; Streptophyta; Magnoliopsida; Fabales; Fabaceae. The record is from RefSeq and is a predicted model, not a curated record. The transcript is spliced from 6 exons.
AGAAGAGUCUCCCAUUUUCUCAUCAUAUGGCCUUCCACAUUAGCACCUCACUCUCACAAAAUUCCACAUCAUUCCCUCGUUAUUGUUUGCUGCGGCAGUUCUAAGGGUGGAAGUUUAAACAUCUCAACCUCUCAUGAUCUUACAGUUACAUAUUCUUUACUUUCUCUGGCCAUCCACGUUCCAAACUGCUUGCAGCAAUAAUGACCUGUUAUAAUGCCUUGCAUAUUUAUCUGUCACUUUCUUUCUUCUUCUUUCCAUGUUUUCUAAAAGAAUGUUAGUGCAGCCCCAUUAUUCUUCUUCUCCUUUCACGAUUGAUUCAUGUUCUUCCGCCUCCAUUCAUGUUCUUCAGUGUGUCCGCGAUUUCGAUUGGCUUCUGCUUUCAUUUUUGUAUGUUGUUGUUUUUGUGUGUUGUGCGAUGAACACGGUUUGAUGAUGUUGCUGAGAGGUUUCAUUCGCGUUUGAACAUGUGGUGUUCGGUUUUGAAUGUUUGAUGAUGAAUGUUGAGUUGAAACAACUCUGAAUCGGCAAAGCUGGGUGAGAUCUUUCUGAGUUUAUGCUAUUUUCUUUUUAAUCUCUCUUUUUCACUCACAAACUUUCUGCUUUAUUUUCUCCAUUCAAAUCUGAUUUAGGUGUAUUAAUGUUGCUUAAUUUAGUUUUAUUUUUCGAAUCAAUUAAUAGGCCACCAAGUGUUUGUUAUAAUGAUUGAAGAUUGGUGGAGAAUGGAAGAGAAUCGAUUCAAGAUUGAAGGUGUUAUGAGAUUGAAAUCGGUGAUGGUGAUUAAGGACAGAAAUGUGGAGAUAUGGAGGAGGAUUCUAGAAUCGUGGUGCUUCAGAACAAGUUCAAUAAGCAUGGAAAUCUUCUUGCUGUUAGUACAACAGAUAGCGGUGUUAAAAUUCUUGCUAAUGCAGAGGGUUUAAAUCCAUGAGGCGCGUCGAUGCUACUGAUCCAAAGCUUUGUAUCUGAUUUAAUUCGGCAGCAUGAUUAAUGUUUUGUUUCAAUAUUAAGUUGGUGGAAUUGCUGCCGGCUAUGACCUCACUAUCAAGGCUGUAGAAUCUGGAAAGGUGAUCGUAGACGACAUAUGUAUAGGUCUUACUUUUUGCGAUUAUGAGGUUUUAAAAAAGGUCCAUGACUGCGAAAACCUCUGCGACAACGAUAGUAGUGCUUCUCCGCCUUUGUCACAUGAAACCAAUCAAAAACCAGUAAGCAGUACAUCCAGAUUAAGAAGUAAUUCAAUGGUACAUAUUCGGAGACGAUGCGUACUUCAAAGGAAAAACCAGUAAGCAGUACAUGCAGCUUCUGCGUUGCGGAUCGUUGAUGCGUGUUGCUGAGUUCUUCGCAGGUUCGGAGAUGACGGUUUUUCUUAUGAUAUUUAUCAGAAUCGUUGUUGUUGAGUUGUAGGUCGGUGUAUGGAUCUUUUCACAAAGUCACAGAAAGAUGAAUAAGUUUGUAUGAAGCUCUUUUGUUGCGAUUGUCGUGAACGGUGAUGUUGCAGAUAUUUGGAAGUUUAAUGAAGGUGAUGGAAUGGAGUUGAAGUCUACAAGUUUCUAAACAAUGAAGGAAGAUGGUGAUAUGAAUGUUGGAGGAAGUUUUUUCUAUCAAGUUUUCGGCAUAGUUUCGGAGGAAGUAUUAACAAAAACCAAAUGAAUAUUUGAUUGUUUUCAACAAGAGUAGGAAAAUAUGUCAUUAUCAUGUAACAGCAAAAUAUGACUAAGCUGUGUUAUGCUUUGGUGAAUAGGUCUACUUAACUUAGGUUAAUGUUUUGUCAUACUUAUGUAUAAACUCUAAGGUUGACCCUGUGAAUAUUAUGAAUGAUAACCACUAGCUGCACCACCUUACCUCUGCAACAUACAUUCGACUAAACCGCUCCGAUCCGUGACCUCCAUCCGUUUGCCACACUCAACGCGACAAGAUAAUUUCACAACAGGAAGUUCGAUCAUAACCACAAAACAAAAAGGAACAGUUUGAAUCAGUUCUAUACUGCUACCGCUUUGGAAUUUCUCACCACCCCCCUUAGGUUGCAUCGUUUCCUUCUCUCGGUCCAUGAUUGUUGCAGUUCAAUUUGAUCAUUUGAUAGCAAUUAUAUAUGAUUGAUUGUGUGUUUGUGUUGUUAAAUCUAUGAGUAAAAAGUAAUUUAUUUAUUUUUACACUUGAUGAAUCCAUG